AGAGUUUGAUCCUGGCUCAGAACAAACGCUGGCGGCGUGCCUAACACAUGCAAGUCGUACGAGAAAGUCCGCUUCGGUGGAUGAGUAAAGUGGCGCACGGGUGAGUAACGCGUGGAUAAUCUACCCUUUAGUCUGGAAUAACUUAUCGAAAGGUGAACUAAUACCGGAUAAUAUCCCGAUUUCUUCGGCGAUCGGGAUCAAAGAAGGCCUCUGCUUGCAAGCUUCCACUGAAGGAUGAGUCCGCGUACCAUUAGCUAGUUGGCAGGGUAAUGGCCUACCAAGGUUAUGAUGGUUAGCUGGUCUGAGAGGAUGAUCAGCCACACUGGAACUGAAACACGGUCCAGACUCCUACGGGAGGCAGCAGUGAGGAAUAUUGCGCAAUGGGGGCAACCCUGACGCAGCAACGCCGCGUGAGUGAGGAAGGUUUUCGGAUUGUAAAGCUCUGUCGAGCGGAAAGAAGUGCAUGGUGGUUAAUAUCCAUCAUGCUUGACGGUACCGCUAAAGGAAGCACCGGCUAACUCCGUGCCAGCAGCCGCGGUAAUACGGGGGGUGCAAGCGUUGUUCGGAAUCAUUGGGCGUAAAGCGCGUGUAGGCGGCUGGACAAGUCAGAUGUGAAAGCCCUGGGCUUAACCCAGGAAGUGCAUUUGAAACUGUUCAGCUAGAGUAAGGGAGAGGAAAGUGGAAUUCCUGGUGUAGAGGUGAAAUUCGUAGAUAUCAGGAGGAACACCGGUGGCGAAGGCGACUUUCUGGCCCUAUACUGACGCUGAGACGCG
RNAcentral lists this ribosomal RNA (773 nucleotides) under uncultured bacterium. RNAcentral describes it as "bacterial SSU rRNA". It matches the Rfam family "Bacterial small subunit ribosomal RNA", at positions 8 to 755 of the family's 1533-position model. The record is from RNAcentral.